UAAAGAAAAUGGACUUUACGUUGGUAAAGGUGAAACAACAUACAAAGAGGACUGAAACUUGAGACAGAUGGUACUUGUAUGCCUGAGAGACCAAAAUGCUGAUUCCGUUUACCUUCCUGGAAACUGUAAAACUAACCAAUCAGAGGAUCAGGUCAUUGAGAAGAAGAAACUUGCCCAACCUAAGAUGCACCUCUUUAAGAGGACCCAGUAGGAGAGAAUUGCCCUUGAAAUGCUAAAAUGGGGAAAACAGCUUGAGAAUGUUAUGAGGCAAGACAGACUGACGUGAAAGAUAUUUUCAUCUCCGUGCACUUGGUGCCAACUCAAGGCCAAGUUAGGAAAACAGUCCACGAUGUACUGUAAAGUAAUACUGAAUGGAACAGGUGAGGGCACAGCAUUCAUGUCCUGUUGCCCUUCCCCCCUCUGUCAUGUGAGGAUGUUGUUGCAAGAAGAUGCUUUUACUGG
RNAcentral lists this long non-coding RNA (462 nucleotides) under Homo sapiens (human). RNAcentral describes it as "HSALNT0391268". Lineage: Eukaryota; Metazoa; Chordata; Mammalia; Primates; Hominidae. The record is from RNAcentral.